GCUGGGUGUGGUGGUGCAUGCCUGUAGUGCCAGCUACUUGGGAGGCUGAGGUAGGAGGAUUGCUUGAGCCCAGGAGUUUGAGGCAUGCAGUGAUCAUGCUACUAUACUGCAGCCUGGGCAACAGAGUGAGAUCCUAUCUCAA
RNAcentral lists this non-coding RNA (142 nucleotides) under Gorilla gorilla gorilla (western lowland gorilla). The record is from Rfam by way of RNAcentral. Lineage: Eukaryota; Metazoa; Chordata; Mammalia; Primates; Hominidae.